Molecule: long non-coding RNA, 116 nt
Organism: Gavialis gangeticus (Gharial)
Lineage: Eukaryota; Metazoa; Chordata; Crocodylia; Gavialidae
Exons: 3
Source: RefSeq, a predicted model, not a curated record
UGGCAAGGGAAGCUUAGGUUAGAUAUUAGGAAGAAUUUUCUCACUAGGAGGGUAGUAAAAUACUGGAACACAUUAUCCAGAAAGGCUGUGGACUCUCUAGCCUUUGAGUUUUUAGU